GGAGUCGCAUACAAAAGUCAAACAAUAUAGAAAAGAAUUGAUUGAAUAUUUAUGUGUUCAAUAUAGAAGCAUGAGACUUAAUUAAAUAUAUAGAUUAACUUAAUUAAGAAUUAAGUUAUAAGUUAUACAAAAUUAAACACUAACUAUAUUCAGUUAGCACUGUGCAUGAGGUGCGGAUUUGAUUUCGAAAAUUAAUUAAAUCAAAUAAAUAA
This 212-nucleotide long non-coding RNA is filed under the name Elaeis guineensis (African oil palm). Its description in RNAcentral is "long non-coding RNA (EGUI_LNC012803)". Lineage: Eukaryota; Viridiplantae; Streptophyta; Magnoliopsida; Arecales; Arecaceae. The record is from RNAcentral.